RNAcentral lists this ribosomal RNA (216 nucleotides) under Glomeromycotina sp. RNAcentral's name for it is "partial small subunit ribosomal RNA". The stretch from base 40 to 216 matches the Rfam family "Eukaryotic small subunit ribosomal RNA", at positions 686 to 864 of the family's 1831-position model. Lineage: Eukaryota; Fungi; Glomeromycota. The record is from RNAcentral.
GGGUCAGUAGGUUGGUCGUGCCACCGGUACGUACUGGUCUCACUGAUUCCUCCUUCCUGAAGAACCGUAAUGCCAUUAAUAUGGUGUUGCGGGGAAACAGGACUGUUACUUUGAAAAAAUUAGAGUGUUUAAAGCAAGCUAACGCUUGAAUACAUUAGCAUGGAAUAAUGAAAUAGGACGAUCGAUCCUAUUUUGUUGGUUUCUAGGAUUGACGUA